UCAGUCGACUCCUACGGGGAGGCAGCAGUGGGGGAAUAUUGCACAAUGGGCGCAAGCCUGAUGCAGCCAUGCCGCGUGUAUGAAGAAGGCCUUCGGGUUGUAAAGUACUUUCAGCAGUGAGGAAGGUGGGUAUGUUAAUAGCAUACUCAUUUGACGUUAGCUGCAGAAGAAGCACCGGCUAACUCCGUGCCAGCAGCCGCGGUAAUACGGAGGGUGCGAGCGUUAAUCGGAAUUACUGGGCGUAAAGCGCAUGCAGGUGGUUUGUUAAGUCAGAUGUGAAAGACCCGGGGCUCAACCUCGGAAUUGCAUUUGAAACUGGCAAACUAGAGUACUGUAGAGGGGGGUAGGAAUUUCAGGUGUAGCGGUGAAAUGCGUAGAGAUCUGAAGGAAUACCGGUGGCGAAGGCGGCCCCCUGGACAGAUACUGACACUCAGAUGCGAAAGCGUGGGGAGCAAACAGGAUUAGAUACCCUGGUAG
Molecule: ribosomal RNA, 477 nt
Filed under: uncultured bacterium
Lineage: Bacteria
Description: bacterial SSU rRNA
Rfam family: Bacterial small subunit ribosomal RNA
Source: RNAcentral